AAGCAUAUUAUUAAGCGGAGGAAAAGAAACUCACCAGGAUUCCCUCAGUAAGGGCGACUGAAGUGGGAAGAGCUCAUGAUGUGAAUCUACGGAAUUGUGGUCUAGGUGUGUUACUACUGGCCGGGCCAAGUCCCUUGGAACAGGGCAGCGCAGAGGGUGAGACUCCCGUCUGUCCGGCCUCUGGAACGCCUUCGAACGAGUCGAGUUGUUUGGGAUUGCAGCUCUAAGCGGGUGGUAAAUUCCAUCCAAGGCUAAAUAUUGGUGGGAGACCGAUAGCGUACAAGUACCGUGAGGGAAAGAUGCAAAGGACUUUGAAAAGAGAGUUAAAGAGUACCUGAAAUUGCUGAGAAGGAAGCGAAGGAAACCAGUGCGAGGCGUGUCAUACUUCCCCGCUCGCUUGCGGUCGGGGCGCUGUGGCCGCCGUGGUUCAGUUUGGUUCAGUUGUCCGGACGACUCGUCACGGUUGGCUGAACUGGGCUGCACGAAAUGGUUUUCUUUUCCCCG
This 504-nucleotide ribosomal RNA is filed under the name Tetramphora sulcata. Its description in RNAcentral is "partial large subunit ribosomal RNA". It matches the Rfam family "Eukaryotic large subunit ribosomal RNA", at positions 36 to 651 of the family's 3401-position model. The record is from RNAcentral. Lineage: Eukaryota; Bacillariophyta; Bacillariophyceae; Mastogloiales; Mastogloiaceae.